This is a long non-coding RNA of Apodemus sylvaticus (European woodmouse), 367 nucleotides long. RefSeq lists it as uncharacterized. Lineage: Eukaryota; Metazoa; Chordata; Mammalia; Rodentia; Muridae. The transcript has 2 exons. The record is from RefSeq and is a predicted model, not a curated record.
UCUUCUGCUCGCAGCCUUCAGAUGAAGAUGUAAAACUCUCAGCUCCUCCUGCACCAUGCCUGCCUGGAUGCUGCCGUGUUCCUGCCUUGAUGAUAAUGGACUGACCCUCUGAACCUGCUUGGACACUUCCUGGUUAUAAUGGGAACCAUCCUGGCCACUGGGACUGUGAGCCGGCAGGAGCAGGAGGCUUCCCGGGACCAGCUCAGCACUCCUGGGGUCCUAAUUCAAUCUUCCAGGCCGUUCUCGCCUAUUCUGCAGGGGCUGCUGUAAACUCUAGCCUGAAUCCGCAAGGCAUUGGAAUUUUUGGAUACAUUUUUCACAUUAAGAAGUUAAAUCUUCAGGCAAAUUAAAUUUGGAAAUAAUUUCA